UUGACUCUCUUACUGAAAAGAAUUUUUUGUUUUGUUUUGUUUUAAGGAGCCUUUCCCCUGGAGUUCUCCAGCCUUCUGUGUUAGUUACAGGAGAUAAGGCCGAUUCAGCCAGUCAACAAAAUGUUUUGCUCAUGAAGCUGAAGUUCUGCUUUUCUCCUGUACUGGAAGUGGUGAUACUUCCACAUGCUUCAGAGAAAAAUUUGUUUUAAGGUAUCAUGCAACUAUUUUCAUUGCAAGAGUCAAAUGUGCUCACCUCCUUAAGGCAAAGCGUCAGAAGACCCCUGUCAACCUCAGGAUCUUGUGCUGGACUGAAUUAGUAAAGACACAGGCAAUGGGAGGAGGAAGGAGACGGACUGCCACUUCUGCCAUUAGCAGCAGCAAAGCACAGCUCUAAGGUUGUGGGUGCUGCAGUUCCUCCUACUCGCCUUGAUGGAGAGGCGAUCAGGAUGAGGCUGUGCCCUCAAGCCCAGCACUGGUGCUGCUUAGCGUGAGAACUGCAGCGGUACCUUUUACAGCAAGGAUCAAUGGAAGCCCGUGAGCAGCUUCGCCGCCAGGAAAACUACGGAGGCUGAAGAAGACAUCCAUCCUGCUGCAAGCCUAGAUGCCCGAGGGGACAUCCUUGCCUGGAUGCUCCCUGCUUGGCCCUAACGAGGCCCAUCAGUGCUAAUGGAGAAAUGACCUCCAGCUAGCGCAUGUGGCUGCUUAUGUACUCGCAUCCUGCCUGCUUUGGAGUUAUCUUCUUCUCCUGCCGGGGGCGGGCUGCAGCAGGACCUCUAGAAGCAAGGAUCAGCCCUGGAGGGGGCGCGAGACGGUGGCCGAUUCUCGCUGUGAGUAGUCUCCUUCACAAAGAGAAGGCAGGCGCCCAGAGCCCAGGAACUGGAGCCACCCGGCCUCAGGGCUGCCGGCGCCGCCCUCCUUCGGGACGCCGUUCGCGGCGGUUGUCUUUCCGCAGGUUUGGGGCCAGCGGGAGGAUGCCGGUGGCGUUAAAGCGCAGAUGGACCCGGAGAGCGAGGCGAGCGCGGAGCGCCCUCGGGAUGGAGUCGUAAGCCGGGCGUCGGAAGACAGACUCGGCUCUUACGGUCGGGGGUGCGCAG
This is a long non-coding RNA of Tympanuchus pallidicinctus (lesser prairie-chicken), 1094 nucleotides long. RefSeq lists it as uncharacterized. NCBI's taxonomy places the organism in Eukaryota, Metazoa, Chordata, Aves, Galliformes, Phasianidae. The record is from RefSeq and is a predicted model, not a curated record. The transcript has 7 exons.